CACGUAGGCACCAAGCGUUGUCCGGAUUUAUUGGGCGUAAAGAGCUCGUAGGCGGUUCAGUAAGUCGGGUGUGAAAACUCUGGGCUCAACCCAGAGACGCCACCCGAUACUGCUGUGACUUGAGUACGGUAGGGGAGUGGGGAAUUCCUGGUGUAGCGGUGAAAUGCGUAGAUAUCUGGAGGAACACCGGUGGCGAAGGCGGCAUCCUGGACCGGCAUUGACGCUGAGGCGCGAAAGCCAGGGGAGCAAACGGG
This 254-nucleotide ribosomal RNA is filed under the name uncultured bacterium. Its description in RNAcentral is "partial 16S ribosomal RNA". It matches the Rfam family "Bacterial small subunit ribosomal RNA", at positions 524 to 776 of the family's 1533-position model. The record is from RNAcentral.